Apis florea (little honeybee) is the source of this 407-nucleotide long non-coding RNA. Lineage: Eukaryota; Metazoa; Arthropoda; Insecta; Hymenoptera; Apidae. The record is from RefSeq and is a predicted model, not a curated record.
CGAUCUUUUCAUUAAUCCUCGAUCCCUUCUUCACUGAAUCCUCACUUUCUCUUUAUAUCCCAUUCAAUCCACCGCUAUUAACGAUUAACGACUGCAUUCAUUUGUUCGAACUCGUUGUUACACUGCUUCUCGCGCAUCUGCAAGAGCAGUGUUGACAUUGCUGACAUUUUGAAGUGACUUGAAACGACCAAACGACGAAGAAAUGAUACUAUGUUAGAGGAUUGAAUUAUACAGAGAAAUCAGCUAUCACGGAUAGAACGAAAUUUCAGUUGGAACGAAGUUCAUUGCAAUGUCUGUCAACGUUGAGAGAUUGCCUGUGUCAAAUGGUGAUAGUAAUGUCGUGCACGGUUUGGGAAUCGAUAGAAUCGAGUUACGGGACAAGCUGUCUUUUAUUUUCACCCCUGCAC